CCUACGGGAGGCAGCAGUGAGGAAUAUUGGUCAAUGGCCGUAAGGCUGAACCAGCCAAGUCGCGUGAAGGAAGAAGGAUCUAUGGUUUGUAAACUUCUUUUAUAGGGGAAUCAAGGUAUCCACGUGUGGAUCUUUCCCUGUACCAUAUAAAUAAGCAUCGGCUAACUCAGUGCAAGCAGCAGCGGUAAUACUGAGGUGCCGAGCGUUAUCCGGAUUUAUUGGGUUUAAAGGGUGCUUAGGUAGUUUGUUAAGGCAGUGGUGAAAGUAUGUGGCUCAACCAUAAAAUUGCCGUGGAAACUGGCAGACUUGAGUGUUGUAGAGGUAGGCGGAAUGCGUGGUGUAGCGGUGAAAUGCAUAGAUAUCACGCAGAACUCCGAUUGCGAAGGCAGCUUACUAAGCUAUAACUGACACUGAGGCACGAAAGCGUGGGGAUCAAACAGGAUUAGAUACCCCAGUAGUC
Molecule: ribosomal RNA, 460 nt
Filed under: uncultured bacterium
Lineage: Bacteria
Description: partial 16S ribosomal RNA
Rfam family: Bacterial small subunit ribosomal RNA
Source: RNAcentral